CUGGUCCGAUCCUACACAGGUGGACUCAAAUGAGGGACCAAACACAUCUCUAACAAGACUCUAAAUAUCUCCCCAAAAACCACCUAAAACAUCAUAAAACAUGCAUUCAUAACAGGCAAAGGAAGGCUGGGCAGGGGACUUUCGGCGGCAGGUUCGGCGGCCGAAGGUCCCUAAAGAUCCGAAAGUCAGGCACUUUCGGGGGCAGGUUCGGCGGCCGAAGGUCCUCCAUAGAUCCGAAAGUCGGGGACUUUUGGGGCGGGUUCAGAGGCCGAAACUCCCUUACAGAUCCAAAAGUGCUUGCUUUCGGGGGCAGGUUAGGCGGCCAAAAGGCUGCCUCCCAUGCUGGUUCGGCCGCUGAAGCAAAGGUUCGGCGGCUGAACCUUGCUUCAGCGGCCGAACCUUGCUUCAGCGGCCGAACCUAUUCUGCCUCAACACUCAGCCACCAAAUCUCACCAAACUCAUACCCAACUUCUCAAAACAUGCAAAAACUCACUCCAUCAAACAUAAAGGGCAUAAAACUAACUUAAACCCCAACAACAACAAGAAGAACAUCGCAUAAGCAUACAUUCAUCAAAAACCCAACUCAAAACCUAUAACAUUAGAUCUAACCAAAACAUGCAUCUUUAACCCUUAACUAUUUUUAAAACUUACUUAAAACAUAGGAAAAGAUAAGGAUCUACACUUACCUCUUGACGAUCUAAGGUAGAUGCGACACAAACUUGGAGUUGAGGAGAAAACGGUCUCCCAAACUUUAAAAUCUUCGAUUUUAAGCUUAAAACUUCAAAAACAAGCGAAAACCCAUAAAAAUUUGAAGGAAAAACAUAAAAUCAUCAAAUGAAAGGCAAAAACUCACCUUUGCCCGAAAAUGGAGAGAGAAACUCCCCCAUUUUCGGACUGGAGGCCUCUUAUAGGUGGCUGGCUAGACCACCUUCGGGGGCCGAAAGAGAGCUCCCGCAGCAGCAUCAUAUUCGGCGACCGAACAUAAGGUUCAGCGACCGAACAUAAGGUUCGGCGGCCGAACCUGGGCUUAUCCCUCAAAAAAUAUUUUUCUUUUAUUUUUCAAAACUUUAACUCAAAACCAAUUAAUAAAAUAAUGAAAAAUAUUUUAUAAAAACAUAUUUUACCCUUCUAAGAGGUUCCAGUAUUCGAGAUUCCGGAUUCCAACAGGUAUUCCGUCGGAAAGUUGGAAUUCCGACACCGGAGUCUAGCCGGGUAUUACAAUGACAAACCUAAAUUUUCACAAAAAUAUUUCUUGAUCUUCACUUUAGACUUCUCUUUGUGUAGUUUUGGCCCAUAUAUUUGAUUAGGCUCCCUAAGCCUAUGACUGCAAGUGUUGCACUAAAUCUGCCCCCAUAUGAGUUGAAGCAUACCCCAAAUGUAUAUGGAUCAUAUGAAUACGAUUUUGAACUCCUUUUAGAUCCAUUUGAAUUAUAUAAGUUUGCUCCACACUAUUGUUAUAAAUUUGCCAUAUUGAAUCUGUAUCACUUUCGAGCUGUUUAGUUCUUUGGGACUUAGUUUGAUUGCACUUAUGUAUUGAACUAUCUUCAUUUUUUUGGCUUAUGAGCCCGUUUUAGCUUAUUUUGACAUAAAGUACUUUGAGUUGUAUGUUCAGCUUAUAAGCUUGACUUGUUUAGUUCGCUUAGCCUGUGUUAAUGAAUUCAAGCUGUUCUUUGCGCAAUCUACCUGGUAGAUUUGCCCAGGCUGUGAGCUCGAUUUAUAUAUCUAAAGUUUUAUUAUACACUAGGUCUGUGAGCCUUUCUUUAUUUUUAUGAGGGUACUUAAGCUCUUUUCCUGUGAUCUGUUCUGAGCCAUGAGCUCGAUUAUCUCAUACUUAGUUUAUUUUCACAUAUUUAACUCGUGAGCCCGUUCGCACUAUGGGCGCGGUUGUCUUACAUUUAAACUAUUUUCAUGUAUUGUGAACCCAUCCAUGCCAUGAUCUCAAUUGCUUUACUCUCGAGCUAUUUUUGUGUGUUUUUAGCUUGUGAGCUCGUUUGGAGUGCGAGCUCAGCUACAUUACACUUAGGCUGUUUUUCGCAUAUUCAACCUGUGCUGCGUUGUUGUUCUGCUGACUUGUUUUACCAGCAAACCGUUUUAUUUAUUAUGUUAUUAUUUUUUUUUUUUAUCUGUUGGAUACCUUCGUGUUUUUCUAUCUCUUGUUUCUUUGAAGUUUCUGAGUUUCAUUUUUAUUUUGAUGUUGCCUUAACUUUGUUUUUCUUUAACUCCUAGGGAUAUCGGGCUCUUUUUCGAGGUCGGUGUUUUGCCUUAGACUUUACAAACCUUGGAUUAACUCUCUUAUGGAGUACACUCUUUUGUGAAAUUUAUAUUACGAUGCCUUAAGUUAAUUUUUCUACUAAUCGAACUCUAUUUAUGAGGUAGGCAUCAUACCUUACGUUAGUUUUUUUUUUUAUGAGCCGAGCUUCUUAAUGAGGUUGCAAUCUCAUUCUCUUGUGAUUUGAGCUCUUCAAAGAGGUCGCAAAUGGUUCAUUUUUUGCGAUCUGAGUCCCUUUAUGAGGCUGGUCAUUUAGGUUUGUGCCCUUUUCCCCAAGUCUCACGCGCGAUGGGUCCUUUCUUUUACUUUGCUCCCUCGUUCGAGUUCUUUGGAUCUCGUAUCAUUCUGGGCCUUUUAACUCUGACUUUGGUUUAAGUCUCUUACUCUUGAGUUUGUCUGCAUGCGCUUUUCGGGUUGUUUGCCUCUAGGCGUCUUUCAGAUCCUUUUUUUCUAGGUUAAGUCCUAAAGUUCUCUUCUUACAAGACUGGUUUGAUAUUAGGGGGUCAAUCUUUGAGGUUGGCGCUUCUUAUUAUUGCUCAUACUUUUGUUUGCGUAUGGGCCUAAAGGUCGACGUGUGAAAGUUGAGCCCAUAACUAACUCAUAGAAAAUGUGGAGAAGCUUUGUACUUGCAUUGAUGAAUUUUCUUGAGAAAAAUGCAAAAGAAGACGAAUCCACUUAAAUUGGCCAUAUGCAUACACGGAGAGAUAAAUAAUGAAUUGAUUAUUGAAUUACACUUUAAUAGUUAUUGUGGGAUUACAGUCUCGUAUUCCUGCGGUCUGAGCCUUUUGACUAGGUCAGAGCUAUAUCUUCUGUUGGUAUUCUUGCAAUUCGUGUCCUCUGGUGAGGUUGGAUUCAAAUUUUUCACUUAAGUCCUUGUAAUCCGAGUUCUUGUGUGAGGUCGGAGUUAGGUUAUUGUCUUAUUUACUGAGUUUUACGCGUGCUGAGUCCUUUUUUUAGGUUGGCUGCUUAGUUCUCAACUUUUCUCUUAUAAGCUUAUAGCCUUGCCAAUGUAGACUUUUGAGGAGGUAUGUCUGGCCUUUCUGGACUUUUGGGGAGAUCGGACUAUCUGUUUUGGUCCUGACCAUACUAGGGUUUGAUUCUUUUGUACCCAAUGAAUUGGAGUUUUCUACUGUCCAGUCCGACCAUUCGGAAUGAUCCAUUCAACCUUUUUGAAUUACGCAUGCAUGCAUCACAACCUUGAUGGGUCUUAUUUUACUUAGUGUUGGUGUUACCCCUUCACAUCUCCGAUGGUUUUUAUGACCGUCGGAGAAGGAAAUCUGUUCUGCUAUUUUGGUGCUUCCUUUUUACAUGUCAAUCUUGCACAUUAGAUUUUACGAGCAUGUUGGCUUUUUGCCAGGCUCUUUAGCCCUGGUUCUUUGUUUGAACUCUUCAGCUUUUUACAUCGCUCCUGACUCCUUGAUUCUUUAUCUGAGCGUUUGGUUCUCAGGUACGUUCCGAUUGGUUGGUUAUUUGCUCCCAAGUGCUUUUCGGGCUCUUUACUGCCUACACCUUUCUCUAGGCUAACCGAACUGAUUUGGUGCCAAUGGUCAAUUUUCGAGAUGGGCGCCUCUUAUUAUUAUCCCUGGCCUUUCAUUUAGUUCUCUAUCUCGAUAUGUAUUUUGCCUAGAAUUCGCUUUGCCUUAGUUAUGUCUGUCUAUUGGCUUUACCGGCACCGAACUCAUUUUCUUGAAGUCGGCAUAGCACUUUGGCUCUGUGAGCCUUGAAUUAGCCUUUAAUAGGUCUCAUUGCUUCAUGAAGCGAGCGUUGAGAUGCCUUAGUUUAAUUUCUUUACAUGCUGACUGUUCUGUGAGAUUAAAAUAUCAUUAUCCUAUGAUUCAAACUCUUUUGGGAGGUCAGAUUCAAAUUUUUUAUUUGUGGUCCAGUGCUCCAAUCCUUCAUGUGAGGUCGGAGCUAGGUUUCUAUGUUUUGUUUUUGUGCUAUCCGAGCUCUUUUUGUGCUAUCCGAGCUCUUUUUGUGAGCUCAGAGCCAAGCCUUUACUUUUUCUCUUAAAAGUUUGUGGCCUUUAUUGAUGCAGUUUUUCUGUGUUGGCGUUCGCUUGCCAACAGAUUUUAUGGUGCCGGCGAUCAUAUUCUGAUACCGGUCACCUACCUCACUAUGGUAUUCUUCUCCUCAGCCGGUUUUGUGGUACUGGCGGUCAUGUUUCGAGACCGAUCACCUACCUUACUGAGGACUUCAUCUUCCUAGCCGAUUUUGUGGUGCCGACGGUCAUAUUCCAAGACCGGUCACCUACCUUACUGGGGUCUCAUUCUCCUCAGCCGAUUUUGUGGUGCCGACGAUCAUGUUUCGAGACCAGUCACCUACCUCACUGAGAAUUUCAUCUUCUCAGCCAUUUUUGUGGUGUCGCCGGUCAUGUUCCGAGAUCGGUCACCUACCUCACUUGGGGCUUCAUCUUUCCAACUGAUUUUGUGGUGUCGACAGUCAUGUUACGAGACCGAUCACCUACCUCACUAGGGUCUUCAUCUUUCCAACCAGUUUUGUGGUGCCGACGGUCAUGUUUCGAGACCGGUCACCUACCUAAUUGGGGUCUUAUUCUUCUCAGCCGAUUUUGUGAUGCCAACGGCCAUAUUCCGAGACCGGUCACCUACCUCACUGAAGUUUUCUUCCUCUUAACUGAUUUUAUAGUGCCGGUGGUCAUAUUCUGAGACAGAUCACUUAUCUCGCUGAGGAUUUCAUCUUUCCAACUGAUUUUGUGGCGCCGGCGAUCAUGUUCCGAGACAGGUCACCUACCUCACUGGGUCUUCUUCAUUCCUUUUAAUAUUUUUCUGCAAAGUAAAAGCUUGCCCUGAGUAUAUAUUACAAGUGAAUGCAAAUAUUAAUUUUGAUCAACCCUAUCUUUUUAUGUGAUUUAAAUGAUUCACUAAAUAAUAAUUCAUAUGCUUAAUUUAUUUUACUAUUCUUUUUCAACGACAUGCGUAAAUAAAUAAUCAUUUUCUCAAUAUUUCCCACGUUAAAAUUCAUGCCUUUAAACUAUUUCAGUAUACUAUCAUGUUCAGUCUCAUACAUAUAAGGCUUUCGUCUACAAUCUUAAUUUUAUAACUAAUUAUGAUAAUGAAAAUAUAUUAAGUUAAAGAAGUGACCGUGCAACUUAGAUAUGACGCCUUUUUUUCAUAAUUUGUGAAUCAUCCCUGCGUUGCCUUUUUUCUUUAUAUCGACAUCUUUCUAUGUCCGACUUUCGCAAUGUGACUUUUUGAUGUAGGUGGUGAUUCUUGGAUCUUUCUCUAUCUUGUGACACCACAUAGUUAGAGAAUAAGAAGUGCGGUCAUUCUUGAAUAGAGCUCAAAUCGUUUGAAAUGCUUCUGAUGUAAUUUUCGUCGUGAUUGAUCAUAUAAAUCUCAAUAGAUGUAGUGAGAAUGAGAACUCCGGCGACAAGAAAAAUCCUUUCGUUUCCAUAGACGACGCAAAUUAAUAAUAUGAUGUCUAAAAAAAGGUAGAAUUUUAAUAUGAAUGAAUGAAUUUAGCCUGAAUAGUUGAGACCUUAUCUUUUAUAUUCCUUUUUCUCUUAUCGACGCAUAGCUGCUGCUUUAUUUCCAUAUCACUUAUCACUAUCAUAUAAAACCAAACCAUUCAUACGGGCCUAUCUAUUUUUUUACCAUAAUUCAGUAAUUUAACUCUCUAUCGGUGUUCAUGCGAACACCUGAUAAGCUCCAUGAACACCUGAUAGGCUCGUACCAUAAUUAGACUUGCUCUCCGGUUGAAUCCCUCUUAAUAACUCCGAUCCUCGAUCGGACACCUGGACUAAAUUACUCUCCAGUCAAAGCUCAAUGAGUUAUCAACAACCAUUUUCACUAUGCUCAUCACAAUACCACACCCGAUCAACAGCUUCAUAAACCCAUCCGGUCACAAACAUCUCCAAAUACCAAAAUCUGAACCAAAAAAAAAAAAUGCAGAAAUAAAUAGACUAAUGGAAAUUAAUCAAACUAACCGUUUCUAAACAACAUAGCCAAGAGAAGCGAAACGCAAAGAUUCUGGACUGUACCCAGAUGAAUUACAGUUUCAAAGAGCGGACGGCUGGGUUGCUGUCACUCUUUGUAUCAGAUGUCUAUUGCUGCGAUGGAGGGACGCUUGAGAUGGAAGGGCUCUCGACGAGGGUGAAGCGCAGCUGCUCCGUCUGGACGGGGCUCUGGAGAACAAAAGAGGGGAGAGGCUGCGAUUUCGUCCGGUGCUAUAGUGAGGGAUUGAGUCUUGGUGUUUUGCUUUGUGCGAAGGGAGAGCAAUGGUCUGUUUUCAAAUGGGUUUGGCUGGUAGGAUUGAGAUGACUGAGGGAAUGGGACUGUCGGGGCUGUGAGAGAGAGAAUGGGCGUAGGUGGAGGGACUGGAUGUAUCUGGUUUGCUACUGAGGUGAAAGAAAAUGGGCGACCGACUCUACUACGUAAAGGGACGAGCUGGGCAAGACUAUUGGCAUCCGGUCACGGAACAGGGCGUGUAUGUGGUCGAAGAUGAGGGAGAAGGAAGAGAAAGGAGUGUCGGGGCUGGUGAAAUGGGUUCUGGUGGUGGAGUAGAGAUUGAGUUUGAGUAGGGAUGUAAACUGGUAGCUUACAGCAAAAUAACCAAAUUCGAAUCGGAUUAUAUAUAUAAUUUCCGAACUCGUUUAAUAUUUUAAUUUUAC
This 6896-nucleotide long non-coding RNA is filed under the name Manihot esculenta (cassava). Its description in RNAcentral is "long non-coding RNA (MESC_LNC005332)". The record is from RNAcentral. Lineage: Eukaryota; Viridiplantae; Streptophyta; Magnoliopsida; Malpighiales; Euphorbiaceae.